GCCCGCGGGCGGCCGAGGGAGUGGCCGCCCUCGAGGCCGCCGGGAUGCUGCGCCGCCGGGCGUCCGGCUGGUUCUGGACCAGCCGCGAGCG
Molecule: transfer RNA, 91 nt
Filed under: Aeromicrobium flavum
Lineage: Bacteria; Bacillati; Actinomycetota; Actinomycetes; Propionibacteriales; Nocardioidaceae
Description: tRNA-Arg
Source: RNAcentral